RNAcentral lists this transfer RNA (72 nucleotides) under Vibrio cholerae. RNAcentral describes it as "tRNA-Lys". It matches the Rfam family "tRNA". Rfam says of the family: Transfer RNA (tRNA) molecules are approximately 80 nucleotides in length. Lineage: Bacteria; Pseudomonadati; Pseudomonadota; Gammaproteobacteria; Vibrionales; Vibrionaceae. The record is from RNAcentral.
CGCAUGUAGCUCAACUGGUAGAGCAACGGUCUUUUAAACCGGAGGUCCUGGGUUCAAGUCCCAGCAUGGCGA